This is a long non-coding RNA of Panicum virgatum (switchgrass), 378 nucleotides long. RefSeq lists it as uncharacterized. The transcript is spliced from 3 exons. Lineage: Eukaryota; Viridiplantae; Streptophyta; Magnoliopsida; Poales; Poaceae. The record is from RefSeq and is a predicted model, not a curated record.
CUUGUCCCGCUCCUCCGACCACGACGAGCUCCGAGACCGGCUCUGUGCCGCCGCUACCACCACAGCACCCGCCACCCCCUUCGGCUACACCACGCCGCCCCCGAACACCUCCUCGUCGGGCUGACACCGGCUUCGAUGCGCGGGCGGCGCUUGAGCGCGAGCACCGCGGCAGGUCGGACGGUGCGCAGCCGCAUCUGGUGAACAUCCAGUUCCAGAUGAAGGUGCAGUUGGAGCUUGUUGCGCUCUACAUGGAUUUCAAGCUCGGCUAGAGCUACACGCUGAGAAAGAUCUCCAUCCGGGCUGGGGAUGGCUUCCACAACCUCGAGGAAAUUAAAACUGUGGAGCUUGCAAAGUCUGUUGGUUGGGUCCAUAUAUCAU